GAUGACAUCUACACCUGUCAUGUCAGGCUCCUCGCUGUGUCAAGCGGUCACCAGACAAAGACAGAGGCGGAGGUAGACGGGAAAGGCAGGAAGCCGCGAGGCGACAUCUUCAGCUGUCAUGUCUGCACUUAAACGGGGGUCAGGAGAUCGCUGUUUUAACCGAAAAGAGGGAACGAGGGAUGGAGAUGGACACAGAGAGGACAGCUAGGCCUUGGCAGCGUCCUAUCCCUGGGACUGCUGGGUCUUGGCCCUAGCAGUCCUCGUGAAGCUGACCAAUCAGAUUCAGCCGACUUUGGGCUCCCCCGCCGGGUCACGCUGCUCCAGGACUGUCACCUGGUGUUACCACGGAAACAUCACCGCAUCCACCACGUGUCUCCACACGAGACAUAUGACUGCAUCACUACAGGUUGGUGUAUCCAUCCCCUGGACCAGCUGGGCUUUCGGAGACGAAUGGAGGAACUGAUUAAACGUCUCACGGGGCACAAACCGCCAUCAGAUGACCUGGCGUGGGCCAAGAAGAUCAACGGAUAAACACGCG
This is an RNA transcript of Pungitius pungitius (ninespine stickleback), 538 nucleotides long. RefSeq lists it as uncharacterized. The record is from RefSeq and is a predicted model, not a curated record. The transcript has 3 exons. Lineage: Eukaryota; Metazoa; Chordata; Actinopteri; Perciformes; Gasterosteidae.